Molecule: transfer RNA, 76 nt
Filed under: Clostridiales bacterium
Lineage: Bacteria; Bacillati; Bacillota; Clostridia; Eubacteriales
Description: tRNA-Val
Rfam family: tRNA
About the family: Transfer RNA (tRNA) molecules are approximately 80 nucleotides in length. Their secondary structure includes four short double-helical elements and three loops (D, anti-codon, and T loops).
Source: RNAcentral
GGGCGAUUAACUCAGCUGGUAGAGUGCCACCUCGACAAGGUGGAAGUCGUUGGUUCGAGUCCAGUAUCGCCCACCA